This 383-nucleotide ribosomal RNA is filed under the name Macaca mulatta (Rhesus monkey). RNAcentral's name for it is "12S ribosomal RNA". Lineage: Eukaryota; Metazoa; Chordata; Mammalia; Primates; Cercopithecidae. The record is from RNAcentral.
GCUUAGCCCUAAACCUCAAUAGUUGAAACAACAAAACUACUCACCAGAAUACUACAAGCAACAGCUUAAAACUCAAAGGACUUGGCGGUGCUUCACAUCCCCCUAGAGGAGCCUGUUCUAUAACCCCGAUCCACCCCACCCUCUCUUGCUCAGUCUAUAUACCGCCAUCUUCAGCAAACCCUGAUGAAGGUUACGAAGUGAGCGCAAAUGCCCUCCCCGCAAAAACGUUAGGUCAAGGUGUAACCUAUGAGAUGGUAAAAAAUGGGCUACAUUUUCUACCUCAGAAAACCCCACGAUAACUCUUAUGAAACCUAAGAGUCCAAGGAGGAUUUAGCAGUAAAUUAAGAAUAGAGUGCUUAAUUGAACUAGGCCAUAAAGCACGC